Molecule: non-coding RNA, 3588 nt
Organism: Myodes glareolus (Bank vole)
Lineage: Eukaryota; Metazoa; Chordata; Mammalia; Rodentia; Cricetidae
Source: RefSeq, a predicted model, not a curated record
UACUCAUCUCUAUGCUACGUUGAGUAGGUCAUUUAAACUCUAAAAGUAGGUUCAGCUACUCUAUUAUCUACAUUUUUAGAUAAAUCACUUGUCCUCUUUCAGGACCAUGUGAAAAUACAACAAUAAAAUAAAAACUUUUUGUAGAAAGGGGGAUGCCCAAUGGUCAGCCAUGUGGCACUGCUGACCAUUUAAUUCUAGAGUAACCAUCAGACCACUGUCUCUCAGAAGCUGCCGACUAUGUUAAUAUCCACAUAUGGGGGGGGGAUGUAAUGACCCUCCCUGUGUUAUCCUUAAAAUGUUCUGCAGUAUCUUAUAAAGAAUUAGUAAAUCUUUUCUUCAGAGUCUUUCAAUAAUAAUCUUUGUGCUUGACUCAGUUCCAUUUCUUCAUUUUCUAGAUAACCAGAAUACACAGUGGGAGUGGUUACUGAAAGUCAUGGUAUUCUGGAUGACCACUUUAGCCCUGCAGGACGGAGGACAGAUGUACAAUGGUUUUGCCACAUGAAGGCAAUAGUGAUGAAACACAGACAAUUCCCCUGAAGAGAGAAAGGCGGUAGGCUGUAGGCCUGUGUGGAGACAGGAGGACUCCUAUGUAGAGCAGAAUGUUGAGGAGCUUGUGUCUCUACCAGCUUCCCAGUGCUUCAUGAAUGCUCUUAAUCUCUGGCAAACCAUAACGCAGAGAUGUUAAGCAACUUGCUUUGGGUUAAACUGCCAAAUAGGGCAGGUGUGAUAUCUGAACCCACGCGGCCUGUCCACACAGCGAGGAUUCUCAGUUUUUACUCAUCCUGUCUUUCAGCAAGAAGCCAGGACCGGGUCCCAGCUUCACCACUGAUAGCUGUCUGUGCUUGUUUUCUCAACUGGGAUCAACUUGGCUUUCCAGCUGCCUACCUCAUAGUCUGUGCUCAAUAAAGACCCGUACAAAGUCAACUCCGGUGAAGCAAACCUGGGGAAUCACUCAGAAAUUAAAAUUGCUACAUGCUAACUCAGUGUUAUAGCUCUACUGUGAUAAUAUUUAUCAUAUAGAGUUUGAGAUCAGCUCCAGUUUAAAAUGAAACCAAACAAAGUGUUCAACCCCAAACCAAAUCUGGCUGUCAGCCAUCCCAGAUGACCUUUGUUCUAGACAUGACAGGCUUCCAUGGAGGCCAUCUUUUUACAUCAUCUGGGACGAGAACUGGCAUUUCUCAAGGCAAACAUAACUGGUGGGCAGGAAUCUAUCAGUUGUUUUGUUAAGACAUUGAAUUCAUUGUCACAACUACAGUCCGUGUUUUUAGAUGGAAAGAAUCGAGCAAUAGCCAGCAAAGUCCUAGAUUACAGGGAAAACAAUGUCUGGAUUAAAAUCGUAUUCCUACUUGAAGCUGUACAAUGACGUCACUAGGCAUCUCAGUUCAGAUCCUGCGUGGGUUUUCUCUGUAUUUUUUUUAAGGCAUGGUUUCAAGUAGCCCAGGCUGUGUGGCCAAGAAUAGCCUUGGAUUCCUACCCUUCUGCCUCUCCCUCCUAAGUGUCCGGGUCACAGGCAUUCCACCACACACCACACCGCCAUGCUACAGCAGCGAAGCUCGUCCCGGGGUAGAAGGGUGAACGUCGCCCUUUUCGUUUAUACUUUUCCUUCCUAUUUCAUCUAUGACUUGAACUUUUAUAAUGGAGAUAGGGUGUUUUUUUCUAAUUCCUAGGUUAUUGCUUCUUAAAAUAUAUGAACAUGUAAUACUUCAUCUCCCUAUCCCUGCACACUGUUCUGAAGAUAUUAUAUAUAAAGAGGCAGAUGUGCCCAAACAAGCCAGGAGGCCUGGUCUCUAGCCCACUUCUAGCCAGGCCAGCCCCUAAUUGCUUAGCUGGUGUGUGUGUGUGUGUGUGUGUGUGUGUGUGUGUGUGUACGCGCGCGCACAUGCACAUGUAUGUAUUCUUACAAAUUUAGCUAACAAUAUCUCCAGCUAGUCACUUGGGUCACAAGCUGCUUUCUAUCUAGUUUGGGAUACAGGCAGCCCUAUCUAUGAAAGAUAAGGACAUUUCAGUUCAAUGUACUACAAUCUGAAAAACAAAAUGUCUGAGUGAUGACCACAAGAGACAAGAUUGCUGAACAAAUUCCAAGGAUUCCUCUUGUUAAAAAUAUGAAAACUUUUAAUGGGCUUCUUUUCCUUACAGAAUAAUAAAAAGAGCUACACUGUUUUCUAAAAUAUAAAAGACAUAUAUUAUGAACUGAAGCAUCAAUUUUUGUGAUCAAUUUAACUGCUCAUAAAUGAACUGUGCGAUUGUGUUGCCCGGCAACCAUAUUGACAGAGCUCUACACGUCUGCAGUUAGAGGCCGAAUGGCACUGUGGACAGUCCUUGAAGAGACAGCAGACAUUACUGAGAGGCAAUAUUCCUUUUCAGAAAGAAUAACAAUCGUUUGCACGGCCAUCAAAGUCAGGCUUUCUAGUUUGCGUCUCUGAUGCCGGCAAUAUGGAGAGGAAGCGGUUUGAUUUAGCUUGCAGGUUACGGCCCAUCAUUGGAGAAAGCCGCAGCAAGAACCUGAGGCGUGAGCUUAAGGCAGACUCUGAUGAAGGAAUACUUCCUACUGGCUUCUUCCUCGUGCUCACGCUCAGCAAACUUUCUUGUACAACCUAGAACCUCCUGCCCAGGGGUGGCACUGCCCACAGUGGGCAGGAUUCUCCUACUUCAAUUAACAGUCAAGAAAAUGCCUCAUAAGUGGGCCCACGGGCUAAACUGACACAGGCAACUCCUCAGCUGAGGCUCCUUCUCCCCUGCUGUGUCGAGUGAGCGAAGAAGAGAAGCCAGCACAGCAGGUGUCGCCCAGGCCCUGAGUUGUGUUCUAUCUCUAGACCAGAACAGACUUCUCUAUUCCCUUCCUCGGUCUUUAACAGGACCUCAUCACAGAAGGUGAGGGUCUGAACUACUCGCAGCUUGGUAUUUCAAAACCUGGAUGCAGUAUAGCAACUUCUGCCGUUGCACUGCGGCAGGGGCCUGCGAACUAUGCUUGGACAAGGGGACAGAUCGCCAGUGUUUUCACUGAAGACCGAUUCACACACCCCCUCCCCCCGGGCACUUAGAUCCAGAACCUGUAAGUUGCCCAAGAGAAAAACUCUCAUACCUCAUCCUGCAGGAGGGUCUUGCUGUAUUCCAGGUGAUGUCGCUCUAAAAUGGAAGUCCCAUGAAGCUUUGCAAGUGGAGACGUGGACCUAGGACGAAAAGGAUACGGCACAGAUCUUCCGUUUAGAGAUCACACGGAAAUCCACCCACACAGCACCUUCGCUCUUCUGGAGUUCCCGUUCAUGUCUCAUUUCUUUCCCCACUCAAUGUCUAUGAAAAUAACCAAAUGCAAACUAUUGGAAAAGAUUAUUUUUUAAUUUAGAAGGUACUAGCAUACAUUUGAAAUUAAGAUCCUCCAUUUGUUAAAACCUACAAGACCAUUCUCUGCAAGUGAAGACCCCACUCCUCAAAAACAUUGUUCUUCUGCCACCUGUGCCGGGAGGGGAAGAUACGGUGAAUACAGAAAGGUAAAAGGCAGUCGAGCAAUGCAGGCCACGCCUUUAAUCCCAGCACUCUGGACACAGAAGCAGGUGGAUCUCUGCGAGUUUGAAGCUAGCCUCAUCUACA